CCCCUCUCAGGGUCACUCCUGGAGAGUUUCCAAGACUCUACAAGUCUCGGCUAUAGGAAGGAGAGUCAAGCAGAGGCAUACCCAUUCCAAUCCUAGCUUGGGCAGUGACUAGCGAGUGGAAGGCAAUCUGCUACAAGU
Tachyglossus aculeatus (Australian echidna) is the source of this 138-nucleotide small nucleolar RNA. NCBI's taxonomy places the organism in Eukaryota, Metazoa, Chordata, Mammalia, Monotremata, Tachyglossidae. The record is from RefSeq and is a predicted model, not a curated record.